This 1080-nucleotide ribosomal RNA is filed under the name uncultured bacterium. RNAcentral's name for it is "bacterial SSU rRNA". It matches the Rfam family "Bacterial small subunit ribosomal RNA", at positions 61 to 1144 of the family's 1533-position model. The record is from RNAcentral.
GUCGACGCUGAAGCCUGGUGCUUGCACCGGGUGGAUGAGUGGCGAACGGGUGAGUAACACGUGAGUAACCUGCCCCUGACUUCGGGAUAAGCCCGGGAAACUGGGUCUAAUACCGGAUACGACUGCCGGACGCAUGUCUGGUGGUGGAAAGUUUUUUCGGUUGGGGAUGGGCUCGCGGCCUAUCAGUUUGUUGGUGAGGUAAUGGCUCACCAAGACGACGACGGGUAGCCGGCCUGAGAGGGCGACCGGCCACACUGGGACUGAGACACGGCCCAGACUCCUACGGGAGGCAGCAGUGGGGAAUAUUGCACAAUGGGGGAAACCCUGAUGCAGCGACGCAGCGUGCGGGAUGACGGCCUUCGGGUUGUAAACCGCUUUCAGCAGGGAAGAAGCGCAAGUGACGGUACCUGCAGAAGAAGUACCGGCUAACUACGUGCCAGCAGCCGCGGUAAUACGUAGGGUACGAGCGUUGUCCGGAAUUAUUGGGCGUAAAGAGCUCGUAGGUGGUUGGUCACGUCUGCUGUGGAAACGCAACGCUUAACGUUGCGCGUGCAGUGGGUACGGGCUGACUAGAGUGCAGUAGGGGAGUCUGGAAUUCCUGGUGUAGCGGUGAAAUGCGCAGAUAUCAGGAGGAACACCGGUGGCGAAGGCGGGACUCUGGGCUGUAACUGACACUGAGGAGCGAAAGCAUGGGGAGCGAACAGGAUUAGAUACCCUGGUAGUCCAUGCCGUAAACGUUGGGCACUAGGUGUGGGGGGGCAUUCCACGUUCUCCGCGCCGUAGCUAACGCAUUAAGUGCCCCGCCUGGGGGAGUACGGUCGCAAGGCUAAAACUCAAAGGAAUUGACGGGGGCCCGCACAAGCGGCGGAGCAUGCGGAUUAAUUCGAUGCAACGCGAAGAACCUUACCAAGGCUUGACAUACACCGGACCGUCCUGGAAACAGGUCCUCUUCUUUGAAGCUGGUGUACAGGUGGUUGCAUGGUUGUCGUCAGCUCGUGUCGUGAGAUGUUUGGGUUAAGUCCCGCAACGAGCGCAACCCUCGUUCUAUGUUGCCAGCAUGGUGAUGGUGGGAACUCAUAG